AGAUGAGGUGGCGGAAGACCUAGUCCCUCAGAUGCCUAAUCUGAGGGUCGCGCGUUCGAAUCGCGCCGGGAUCACCA
Molecule: transfer RNA, 77 nt
Filed under: Roseibium limicola
Lineage: Bacteria; Pseudomonadati; Pseudomonadota; Alphaproteobacteria; Hyphomicrobiales; Stappiaceae
Description: Roseibium sp. CAU 1637 tRNA-Arg
Source: RNAcentral